GUCGAGAAUUUUUCUCAAUGGGGGAAACCCUGAAGGAGCGACGCCGCGUGGAGGAUGAAGGCUUUCGGGUUGUAAACUCCUGUCAUCUGGGAACAAAACCCGCAAGGGCUUGAUAGUACCAGAAGAGGAAGAGACGGCUAACUCUGUGCCAGCAGCCGCGGUAAUACAGAGGUCUCGAGCGUUGUUCGGAUUCAUUGGGCGUAAAGGGCGCGUAGGCGGCGGGGUAAGUCUGGUGUGAAAUCUCGGAGCUCAACUCCGAAAUUGCACUGGAUACUGCUCUGCUAGAGGGCUGGAGAGGAGAUCGGAAUUCACGGUGUAGCAGUGAAAUGCGUAGAUAUCGUGAGGAAGACCAGUGGCGAAGGCGGAUCUCUGGACAGCUCCUGACGCUGAGGCGCGAAGGCUAGGGGAGCAAACGGGAUUAGAAACCCGAGUAGUCC
RNAcentral lists this ribosomal RNA (437 nucleotides) under uncultured bacterium. Its description in RNAcentral is "bacterial SSU rRNA". It matches the Rfam family "Bacterial small subunit ribosomal RNA", at positions 354 to 796 of the family's 1533-position model. The record is from RNAcentral.